RNAcentral lists this transfer RNA (82 nucleotides) under Neisseria sp. RNAcentral's name for it is "tRNA-Leu". It matches the Rfam family "tRNA". From Rfam's summary of the family: Transfer RNA (tRNA) molecules are approximately 80 nucleotides in length. Their secondary structure includes four short double-helical elements and three loops (D, anti-codon, and T loops). The record is from RNAcentral. RNAcentral also lists the same sequence under 1 other name. Lineage: Bacteria; Pseudomonadati; Pseudomonadota; Betaproteobacteria; Neisseriales; Neisseriaceae.
GCGGACGUGGCGAAAUUGGUAGACGCACCAGAUUUAGGUUCUGGCGCCGCAAGGUGUGAGAGUUCGAGUCUCUCCGUCCGCA